AUUGAACGCUGGCGGCAUGCCUUACACAUGCAAGUCGAACGGCAGCACGGGAGCAAUCCUGGUGGCGAGUGGCGAACGGGUGAGUAAUAUAUCGGAACGUGCCCAGUCGUGGGGAUAACGUAGCGAAAGCUACGCUAAUACCGCAUACGAUCUAUGGAUGAAAGCGGGGGAUCGCAAGACCUCGCGCGAUUGGAGCGGCCGAUAUCAGAUUAGGUAGUUGGUGAGGUAAAGGCUCACCAAGCCGACGAUCUGUAGCUGGUCUGAGAGGACGACCAGCCACACUGGGACUGAGACACGGCCCAGACUCCUACGGGAGGCAGCAGUGGGGAAUUUUGGACAAUGGGCGCAAGCCUGAUCCAGCAAUGCCGCGUGCAGGAUGAAGGCCUUCGGGUU
RNAcentral lists this ribosomal RNA (393 nucleotides) under uncultured bacterium. RNAcentral's name for it is "bacterial SSU rRNA". It matches the Rfam family "Bacterial small subunit ribosomal RNA", at positions 30 to 424 of the family's 1533-position model. The record is from RNAcentral.